ACGGGUGAGUAACACGUGGAUAACCUACCUAUAAGACUGGGAUAACUUCGGGAAACCGGAGCUAAUACCGGAUAAUAUAUUGAACCGCAUGGUUCAAUAGUGAAAGACGGUUUUGCUGUCACUUAUAGAUGGAUCCGCGCCGCAUUAGCUAGUUGGUAAGGUAACGGCUUACCAAGGCAACGAUGCGUAGCCGACCUGAGAGGGUGAUCGGCCACACUGGAACUGAGACACGGUCCAGACUCCUACGGGAGGCAGCAGUAGGGAAUCUUCCGCAAUGGGCGAAAGCCUGACGGAGCAACGCCGCGUGAGUGAUGAAGGUCUUCGGAUCGUAAAACUCUGUUAUUAGGGAAGAACAAAUGUGUAAGUAACUAUGCACGUCUUGACGGUACCUAAUCAGAAAGCCACGGCUAACUACGUGCCAGCAGCCGCGGUAAUACGUAGGUGGCAAGCGUUAUCCGGAAUUAUUGGGCGUAAAGCGCGCGUAGGCGGUUUUUUAAGUCUGAUGCGAAAGCCCACGGCUCAACCGUGGAGGGUCAUUGGAAACUGGAAAACUUGAGUGCAGAAGAGGAAAGUGGAAUU
Molecule: ribosomal RNA, 579 nt
Filed under: uncultured Staphylococcus sp.
Lineage: Bacteria; Bacillati; Bacillota; Bacilli; Caryophanales; Staphylococcaceae
Description: bacterial SSU rRNA
Rfam family: Bacterial small subunit ribosomal RNA
Source: RNAcentral